CCUACGGGUGGCAGCAGUGGGGAAUAUUGCGCAAUGGGCGAACGCCUGACGCAGCGACGCCGCGUGAGGGAUGAAGGUCUUCGGAUCGUAAACCUCUGUCAGCAGGGAAGAACGGUCACUGUGCUAAUCAGCAGUGAAUUGACGGUACCUGCAAAGGAAGCACCGGCUAACUCCGUGCCAGCAGCCGCGGUAAUACGGAGGGUGCGAGCGUUAAUCGGAAUUACUGGCCGGAAAGCGCUCGUAGGCGGUAUGUCAAGUCACGGGUGAAAUCCCCGCGCUCAACGUGGGAACUGACUUUGAAACUGGCAAACGAGAGUGUGUGAGAGGAUAGUGGAAGUCCAGGUGUAGGAGUGAAAUCCGUAGAUAUCUGGAGGAACAUCAGUGGCGAAGGCGACUAUCUGGAACAUAACUGACGCUGAGGAGCGAAAGCGUGGGUAGCAAACAGGAUUAGAUACCCUUGUAGUC
RNAcentral lists this ribosomal RNA (465 nucleotides) under uncultured bacterium. RNAcentral describes it as "partial 16S ribosomal RNA". It matches the Rfam family "Bacterial small subunit ribosomal RNA", at positions 338 to 795 of the family's 1533-position model. The record is from RNAcentral.